This 496-nucleotide ribosomal RNA is filed under the name uncultured bacterium. RNAcentral's name for it is "partial 16S ribosomal RNA". It matches the Rfam family "Bacterial small subunit ribosomal RNA", at positions 29 to 507 of the family's 1533-position model. The record is from RNAcentral.
AUGCACGCUGGCGGCGUGCCUUAUCCCUGCAAGUCGAGCGAACAGACGCGGAUCUUGCUCCUCUGACGUUAGCGGCGGACGGGUGCGUAACCCGUGGUUCACCUACCUUUAAGUCUGGGAUUACUUCGGUAAACCGGUGCUUUUACCCGAUAAUUUAUUUAACCGUAUGGUUCACUAGUUUAUGUCGGUUUUUUUUUCACUUAUAUAUCUAUCAGCGCUGCAUUAGAUAGUUGGUAAGGUAACGGCUUACCAAGGCAACGAUGCGUAGCCGACCUGAGAGUGUGAACGGCCACACUGGAAGUGAGAAAGGGACCAGACUCCGACGGGAGGCAACAGUAGGGAAUCGUACGCAAGGGGCGAAAGCCGGACGGAGCAACGCCGCGGGAGUGAUGAAGGUCAACGGAUCGUAAAACUCUGUAAGUAGGGAAGAAAAAAUGUGUAAGUAACUAGGCACGUAAUGACGGUACCGAAACAGAAAGCCACGGCUAACUACGUG